GCAGCGGACGAAAGGGGACGGAUGGGCUGACGGGAGAGCGCCUCUGAGGGGCCGCGAGGGUGCGGCGUGCCCGGCUCCCGUCUUCUCCCUCUGGCACCUUGGCCUGGCGGCUCCUGCGGCUCGUUGCGCAGCUGUACGCCCGUGGCCCUGAGAGGAGCUGCCAAGCUUAACUUUCAACAGAGAGGAACAUGUUGCCAGUCUCUUUGCUUGGGAAAAGGCAUAAGCUUCCUGGUGUGCUCCUGAUCUACGUUUCAUUGAGAUUUGCACUGUGGGACCCUUCUUGACAUUCUGCAGAAAAGUGGCACUGUAAUCCAGAGCACAAGUUGAGGAUAUUCUGGGACAGCAAUUAUGGUCUUAAUCUGCCUGAACAAAUUUGCAAAAUUUCACCUGUUUUAUGGGAAAACAUUGCACACCUGAUGGGGAAUCAUUACAGAAAUGUUCCUGUUUCACCACCAGCGAAAGCAAACCAGCAGCAUUCCCUUCUCCAUACAGAUCUUUCACUGUAAAGGAAGCAAUUAAAAAUUUCACUCCUAACCACAACUUACUACAAUAAACAA
Long non-coding RNA from Lagopus leucura (white-tailed ptarmigan), 557 nucleotides. RefSeq lists it as uncharacterized. The record is from RefSeq and is a predicted model, not a curated record. NCBI's taxonomy places the organism in Eukaryota, Metazoa, Chordata, Aves, Galliformes, Phasianidae. The transcript has 3 exons.